RNAcentral lists this long non-coding RNA (695 nucleotides) under Homo sapiens (human). RNAcentral's name for it is "HSALNT0279962". Lineage: Eukaryota; Metazoa; Chordata; Mammalia; Primates; Hominidae. The record is from RNAcentral.
UAGUUUCUCAUUUUAUAUUUUUAUGGACAUUUUUACUUGUUAGUUGUAUUAGUCCAUUCUCUUUUAUAAAGAACUUCCUGAGACUGGGUAAUUUAUAAAGGAAAGAGGUUUAAUUGACUCACAGUUCUGUAUUGCUUUGGAGACCUCAGGAAACUUACAGUCAUGGCAGAAGACAAAGGAUAAGCAGUCACCUUCUUCACAGGGCAGCAGAACAGAGUGAAUCCAAGCAGGGGAAACUCCAGAUGCUUAUAAAACCAUCAGAUCUCAUGAGACUCACUCAUUAUCAUGAGAACAGCAUGGGGGAGACCGCCCCCAAGAUUCCGUUACUUCCACCUGGCCCUGCCCUUGACACAUUUGGAUCAUGGAGAUUGCAAUUCAAGGCUUAGGUAUCUCGAGAAGGGAAGUGGCCACAGUGUCACCAGUCUCCAGAAUGAAUUAUGCAGCAGGACACAUCAUCGAUAACCAGAUAGAACACUCCCUCAAUAUUUAAAGGGCAAUGGCAAUGAUGGAAAGAAGGAAACUGAGAUGAUUCCAGUUCUGUGGGAUCACUGGAUUCAAGCAACAUUGAGAAAUAAUUUUUCUGCUCAAUCCUUACCAAGCAAAAAUAAUCAUCAGGGAGAAAAAGCAGCAUUAUCUCUCCCAGGGAGAGUAUGACAUAAGAUGUUGCCACUAUUGUCUCUGCAGCUCAGGUUUCU